AGAAACCAACCGGGAUUGCCCUAGUAACGGCGAGUGAAGCGGCAAGAGCUCAAAUUUGAAAGCUGGCUCCUUCGGGGUCCGCAUUGUAAUUUGCAGAGGAUGCUUCGGGAGCGGUCCCCAUCUAAGUGCCCUGGAACGGGCCGUCAUAGAGGGUGAGAAUCCCGUCUGGGAUGGGGUGCCCGCGCCCGUGUGAAGCUCCUUCGACGAGUCGAGUUGUUUGGGAAUGCAGCUCUAAUUGGGUGGUAAAUUUCAUCUAAAGCUAAAUAUUGGCCGGAGACCGAUAGCGCACAAGUAGAGUGAUCGAAAGAUGAAAAGCACUUUGAAAAGAGAGUUAAACAGCACGUGAAAUUGUUGAAAGGGAAGCGCUUGCGAUCAGACUCGCCCGCGGGGUUCAGCCGGCAUUCGUGCCGGUGUACUUCCCCGUGGGCGGGCCAGCGUCGGUUUGGGCGGCCGGUCAAAGGCCCCUGGAAUGUAACGCCUCUCGGGGCGUCUUAUAGC
Molecule: ribosomal RNA, 498 nt
Filed under: Penicillium sp. 14.3
Lineage: Eukaryota; Fungi; Ascomycota; Eurotiomycetes; Eurotiales; Aspergillaceae
Description: eukaryotic LSU rRNA
Rfam family: Eukaryotic large subunit ribosomal RNA
Source: RNAcentral